Molecule: unclassified non-coding RNA, 322 nt
Filed under: Suillellus luridus
Lineage: Eukaryota; Fungi; Basidiomycota; Agaricomycetes; Boletales; Boletaceae
Description: sequence contains 5.8S rRNA gene
Rfam family: 5.8S ribosomal RNA (bases 1-53)
Source: RNAcentral
GAACGCACCUUGCGCUCCUUGGUAUUCCGAGGAGCAUGCCUGUUUGAGUGUCAUCGAAUUCUCAACCAUGUCUUGAUCGAUUUCAAGGCCAUGGCUUGGAGUUGGGGGUUGCUGGCGGCGACGAGCUGUCGGCUCUCCUGAAAUGCAUUAGCAAAGGGCAGCAAGUCUUUGACGUGCACGGCCUUCGACGUGAUAAUGAUCGUCGUGGCUGGAGCGUCGGACAUGCAUGAAUAGGUCCUGUGCUUCUAAUCUCUCCCAUGCCUGACGGCGUGUGUUUCGAAACUUGACCUCAAAUCAGGUAGGACUACCCGCUGAACUUAAG